Long non-coding RNA from Gallus gallus (chicken), 839 nucleotides. The record is from Ensembl. Lineage: Eukaryota; Metazoa; Chordata; Aves; Galliformes; Phasianidae.
CUCUUCGAAGGCAUUUCCAAUGUGAAAGAUCUUAUCCUAAAGGCAGCAUUGUGUUUCUUUUAUUUAGCUCUUAUGCUGAGCAGCCCUGGACCACAUUUCAGGAAAUGUCUUAAUCUGGUCACUCAUCACAUGAGCAGAGGAAGGCUAAAUCACUCAAAUGUUCACUUUGCAACACUGAGAAACACAGCAGAACAUUGCACUUUGUUAUCAAUGCAGAAUUCAGACUAAAGACAUUCAAUCUUUCCAAAAAAUCUGGUCAUGGAGCUCAAAAUGAUCUUAAUCUUACUUUGUCUCUGUAAGACUGCCCUGAAUUGUGCACUACAAGAAAGACGAAAGACAUCAAGGCCCUGGAGCACAUCCAAAGAAGCACAACGAAUCUGCGAAGGGUCAGGAGUGCAAGUCUUACAAGGAGAAGCUGUGGAAUGGGGAUUGUUUUGUCUGGAGAAGAGGAGGCUCAGGGGAGACUGUAUCGCUCUCUACAGCUCCCUAAAAGGAGGUUGUGGUUGGCUUCUUCUUACAGAAAUAGAAAGCAGAAUAUGCAGGUCCAUGCCAAGAGAAAAGUUCACUGUUUGAGAUUCCAGGUCCGUAAAAUACACAUAAGAACAUUUACUUCCAUGGUAAAACGUCCUGAGACGAGUGGUUAAGACAAUUUUAACAUGGCCAACAUUACUGCCUGGCUCACUGCAUCCUCCUAUGUUCAACCCAUAAGUAUACCUUGAAGAAAUUUUAACUAGCAUUUAAAAUACAGUUAAUUGCUUUGUUAACAGACAUAUCCAUCUGACAGGCAUUAGAAUGAUUGAGUUUACCUGCUGACUCUUAAAACUCCUGUUUCAAACACA